AUUGAACGCUGGCGGCAGGCCUAACACAUGCAAGUCGAACGAGUGGCGGACGGGUGAGUAAUGACUGGGAAACUGCCUGAUGGAGGGGGAUAACUACUGGAAACGGUAGCUAAUACCGCAUACCAUCAGAUGGGCCCAAUUGGGAUUAGGUUGUUGUUGGGGUAAAGGAUCACCAAGGCGACGAUCUCUAGCUGGUCUGAGAGGAUGACCAGGCACACUGGGACUGAGACACGGUCCAGACUCCUACGGGAGGCAGCAGUGGGGAAUAUUGCACAAUGGGCGAAAGCCUGAGGCAGCCAUGCCGCGUGUAUGAAGAAGGCCUUCGGGUUGUAAAGUACUUUCAGUGGGGAGGCGUUACCCACAGAAGAAGCACCGGCUAACUCCGUGCCAGCAGCCGCGGUAAUAC
RNAcentral lists this ribosomal RNA (406 nucleotides) under uncultured bacterium. Its description in RNAcentral is "partial 16S ribosomal RNA". It matches the Rfam family "Bacterial small subunit ribosomal RNA", at positions 30 to 526 of the family's 1533-position model. The record is from RNAcentral.